UAAUUUGAGAGUUUGAUCCUGGCUCAGGACGAACGCUGGCGGCGUGCCUAAUACAUGCAAGUCGAACGAACUCUGGUAUUGAUUGGUGCUUGCAUCAUGAUUUACAUUUGAGUGAGUGGCGAACUGGUGAGUAACACGUGGGAAACCUGCCCAGAAGCGGGGGAUAACACCUGGAAACAGAUGCUAAUACCGCAUAACAACUUGGACCGCAUGGUCCGAGUUUGAAAGAUGGCUUCGGCUAUCACUUUUGGAUGGUCCCGCGGCGUAUUAGCUAGAUGGUGGGGUAACGGCUCACCAUGGCAAUGAUACGUAGCCGAUCUGAGAGGGUAAUCGGCCACAUUGGGACUGAGACACGGCCCAAACUCCUACGGGAGGCAGCAGUAGGGAAUCUUCCACAAUGGACGAAAGUCUGAUGGAGCAACGCCGCGUGAGUGAAGAAGGGUUUCGGCUCGUAAAACUCUGUUGUUAAAGAAGAACAUAUCUGAGAGUAACUGUUCAGGUAUUGACGGUAUUUAACCAGAAAGCC
Molecule: ribosomal RNA, 526 nt
Filed under: Lactiplantibacillus pentosus
Lineage: Bacteria; Bacillati; Bacillota; Bacilli; Lactobacillales; Lactobacillaceae
Description: bacterial SSU rRNA
Rfam family: Bacterial small subunit ribosomal RNA
Source: RNAcentral